UACGAAGGGGGCUAGCGUUGCUCGGAAUCACUGGGCGUAAAGCGCACGUAGGUGGCUUGUUAAGUCAGGGGUGAAAUCCCGGGGCUCAACCUCGGAACUGCCUUUGAUACUGCAAAUCUCGAGUCCGGAAGAGGUGAGUGGAAUUCCUAGUGUAGAGGUGAAAUUCGUAGAUAUUAGGAAGAACACCAGUGGCGAAGGCGGCUCACUGGUCCGGUACUGACGCUGAGGUGCGAAAGCGUGGGGAGCGAACCGG
This 253-nucleotide ribosomal RNA is filed under the name uncultured bacterium. Its description in RNAcentral is "partial 16S ribosomal RNA". It matches the Rfam family "Bacterial small subunit ribosomal RNA", at positions 524 to 776 of the family's 1533-position model. The record is from RNAcentral.